This 427-nucleotide ribosomal RNA is filed under the name uncultured bacterium. RNAcentral describes it as "partial 16S ribosomal RNA". It matches the Rfam family "Bacterial small subunit ribosomal RNA", at positions 354 to 796 of the family's 1533-position model. The record is from RNAcentral.
GUGGGGAAUAUUGGGCAAUGGGGGCAACCCUGACCCAGCGACGCCGCGUGAGGGAAGACGGCCUUCGGGUUGUAAACCUCUUUUGUACGGGAAGAAGGAAGUGACGGUACUGUACGAAUAAGUCCCGGCUAACUACGUGCCAGCAGCCGCGGUAAUACGUAGGGGACGAGCGUUGUCCGGAAUUACUGGGCGUAAAGGGCGCGCAGGCUGUGCUGCAAGUCAGCUGUGAAAUGUCUGGGCUUAACCCGGGCAUGCGGUUGAGACUGCAGUGCUGGAGUGCUGUAGAGGCAAGUGGAAUUCCCAGUGUAGCGGUGAAAUGCGUAGAUAUUGGGAAGAACACCGGUGGCGAAGGCGACUUGCUGGGCAGCAACUGACGCUGAGGCGCGAAAGCCAGGGGAGCAAACGGGAUUAGAAACCCGUGUAGUCC